Molecule: non-coding RNA, 80 nt
Filed under: Propionispora sp. 2/2-37
Lineage: Bacteria; Bacillati; Bacillota; Negativicutes; Selenomonadales; Sporomusaceae
Also listed under: 1 other name
Description: ZMP/ZTP riboswitch aptamer (pfl RNA motif)
Rfam family: ZMP/ZTP riboswitch aptamer (pfl RNA motif)
About the family: Previously known as pfl RNA.
Source: Rfam by way of RNAcentral
UUAUGGAUACGGAACUGGCGGAUAGUGGAGUUCACCACAUGGACCGUAUCCAGGAAAAGCCGACCGCCUGGGCAAGAUUU